Molecule: ribosomal RNA, 701 nt
Filed under: uncultured bacterium
Lineage: Bacteria
Description: bacterial SSU rRNA
Rfam family: Bacterial small subunit ribosomal RNA
Source: RNAcentral
UCUGCCUUGUAGUGGGGGAUAACUUGCCGAAAGGUAAGCUAAUACCGCAUACGCCCUAAGGGGGAAAGCAGGGGACUCUUCGGAGCCUUGCGCUAUUAGAUGAGCCUAGGUCGGAUUAGUUAGUUGGUGGGGUAAUGGCUCACCAAGACCGCGAUCCGUAACUGGUCUGAGAGGAUGAUCAGUCACACUGGAACUGAGACACGGUCCAGACUCCUACGGGAGGCAGCAGUGGGGAAUAUUGGACAAUGGGGGGAACCCUGAUCCAGCCAUGCCGCGUGUGUGAAGAAGGCCUUCGGGUUGUAAAGCACUUUAAUUUGGGAGGAAGGGCUUACGGUUAAUAACCGCUAAGUUUUGACGUUACCAAAAGAAUAAGCACCGGCUAACUUCGUGCCAGCAGCCGCGGUAAUACGAAGGGUGCGAGCGUUAAUCGGAAUUACUGGGCGUAAAGCGCGCGUAGGUGGUUCAUUAAGUUAGGAGUGAAAGCCCCGGGCUCAACCUGGGAAUUGCUUCUAAAACUGGUGAGCUAGAGUACAGUAAAGGGUGGUGGAAUUUCCUGUGUAGCGGUGAAAUGCGUAGAUAUAGGAAGGAACAUCAGUGGCGAAGGCGACCACCUGGACUGAUACUGACACUGAGGUGCGAAAGCGUGGGGAGCAAACAGGAUUAAAUACCCUGGUAGUCCACGCCGUAAACGAUGUCAACUA